Molecule: long non-coding RNA, 195 nt
Organism: Melospiza melodia melodia
Lineage: Eukaryota; Metazoa; Chordata; Aves; Passeriformes; Passerellidae
Exons: 3
Source: RefSeq, a predicted model, not a curated record
CUUAGUAACAAGGGGGACUACACUGGAAUCAGGAUUAAAAAUCAACCCAGCUCUUUCAGUUCUCCAGUUCCCUGCCAGCAGUUUUCAGCCAGAGAGAUACCAGCAGAUGAGAGGUGGCGAGCAGGAGGCUAUGGAACUGGAGUGUUCAAACAUGAUGCAUCCGACAAAUACAACUCCAGAGAGGAGAAAGAGCAA